AGGCCUGUAGCUCAAUUGGCAGAGCACCGGUCUCCAAAACCGGUUGUUGGGAGUUCAAUUCUCUCCAGGCCUGCCA
Molecule: transfer RNA, 76 nt
Filed under: Candidatus Omnitrophota bacterium
Lineage: Bacteria; Pseudomonadati; Candidatus Omnitrophota
Description: tRNA-Trp
Rfam family: tRNA
About the family: Transfer RNA (tRNA) molecules are approximately 80 nucleotides in length. Their secondary structure includes four short double-helical elements and three loops (D, anti-codon, and T loops). Further hydrogen bonds mediate the characteristic L-shaped molecular structure. tRNAs have two regions of fundamental functional importance: the anti-codon, which is responsible for specific mRNA codon recognition, and the 3' end, to which the tRNAs corresponding amino acid is attached (by aminoacyl-tRNA synthetases). tRNAs cope with the degeneracy of the genetic code in two manners: having more than one tRNA (with a specific anti-codon) for a particular amino acid; and 'wobble' base-pairing, i.e. permitting non-standard base-pairing at the 3rd anti-codon position.
Source: RNAcentral